ACUACGGGUGUCAGCAGUGAGGAAUAUUGGUCAAUGGACGAGAGUCUGAACCAGCCAAGUAGCGUGAAGGAUGACUGCCCUAUGGGUUGUAAACUUCUUUUAUAUGGGAAUAAAAUGUUCCACGUGUGGGAAUUUGUAUGUACCAUAUGAAUAAGGAUCUGCUAACUGCGGGAACGCAGCCGCGUUAAUACGGAGGAUCCGAGAGUUAUCCGGAUGUCUUUGGUUUACAGGGAGCGUAGGUGGAUUGUUAAGUCGGUUGUGACAGUUUGCGGCACAACCGUAAAAUUGCAGUUGAAACUGGCAGUCUUGAGUACAGUAGAGGUGGGCGGAAUUCGUGGUGUAGCGGUGAAAUGCUUAGAGAUCACGAAGAACUCCGAUUGCGAAGGCAGCUCACUGGACUGCAACUGACACUGAGGCUCGAAAGUGUGGGUAUCAAACAGGAUUAGAUACCCCAGUAGUC
Molecule: ribosomal RNA, 460 nt
Filed under: uncultured bacterium
Lineage: Bacteria
Description: partial 16S ribosomal RNA
Rfam family: Bacterial small subunit ribosomal RNA
Source: RNAcentral